AGGCUUAACACAUGCAAGUCGAGCGGAGUGAUGGUGCUUGCACUAUCACUUAGCGGCGGACGGGUGAGUAAUGCUUAGGAAUCUGCCUAUUAGUGGGGGACAACAUCUCGAAAGGGAUGCUAAUACCGCAUACGUCCUACGGGAGAAAGCAGGGGAUCACUUGUGACCUUGCGCUAAUAGAUGAGCCUAAGUCGGAUUAGCUAGUUGGUGGGGUAAAGGCCUACCAAGGCGACGAUCUGUAGCGGGUCUGAGAGGAUGAUCCGCCACACUGGGACUGAGACACGGCCCAGACUCCUACGGGAGGCAGCAGUGGGGAAUAUUGGACAAUGGGGGGAACCCUGAUCCAGCCAUGCCGCGUGUGUGAAGAAGGCCUUAUGGUUGUAAAGCACUUUAAGCGAGGAGGAGGCUUACCUAGUUAAUACCUGGGAUAAGUGGACGUUACUCGCAGAAUAAGCACCGGCUAACUCUGUGCCAGCAGCCGCGGUAAUACAGAGGGUGCAAGCGUUAAUCGGAUUUACUGGGCGUAAAGCGCGCGUAGGCGGCCAAUUAAGUCAAAUGUGAAAUCCCCGAGCUUAACUUGGGAAUUGCAUUCGAUACUGGUUGGCUAGAGUGUGGGAGAGGAUGGUAGAAUUCCAGGUGUAGCGGUGAAAUGCGUAGAGAUCUGGAGGAAUACCGAUGGCGAAGGCAGCCAUCUGGCCUAACACUGACGCUGAGGUGCGAAAGCAUGGGGAGCAAACAGGAUUAGAUACCCUGGUAGUCCAUGCCGUAAACGAUGUCUACUAGCCGUUGGGGCCUUUGAGGCUUUAGUGGCGCAGCUAACGCGAUAAGUAGACCGCCUGGGGAGUACGGUCGCAAGACUAAAACUCAAAUGAAUUGACGGGGGCCCGCACAAGCGGUGGAGCAUGUGGUUUAAUUCGAUGCAACGCGAAGAACCUUACCUGGCCUUGACAUAGUAGAAACUUUCCAGAGAUGGAUUGGUGCCUUCGGGAAUCUACAUACAGGUGCUGCAU
RNAcentral lists this ribosomal RNA (1010 nucleotides) under Acinetobacter soli. RNAcentral's name for it is "bacterial SSU rRNA". It matches the Rfam family "Bacterial small subunit ribosomal RNA", at positions 44 to 1046 of the family's 1533-position model. Lineage: Bacteria; Pseudomonadati; Pseudomonadota; Gammaproteobacteria; Moraxellales; Moraxellaceae. The record is from RNAcentral.